UCCGGUUUGUCACCGGCAGUCUCAUUAGAGUGCCCAACUAAAUGUAGCAACUAAUGACAAGGGUUGCGCUCGUUGCGGGACUUAACCCAACAUCUCACGACACGAGCUGACGACAGCCAUGCAGCACCUGUGUUCCGAUUCCCUUUCGGGCACACCCAAAUCUCUUCAGGCUUUCGGACAUGUCAAAGGUAGGUAAGGUUUUUCGCGUUGCAUCGAAUUAAACCACAUCAUCCACCGCUUGUGCGGGUCCCCGUCAAUUCCUUUGAGUCUCAGCCUUGCGGCCGUACUCCCCAGGCGGUCAACUUCACGCGUUAGCUUCGUUACUGAGUACUAAUGCACCCAACAACCAGUUGACAUCGUUUAGGGCGUGGACUAC
Molecule: unclassified non-coding RNA, 376 nt
Filed under: uncultured Gammaproteobacteria bacterium
Lineage: Bacteria; Pseudomonadati; Pseudomonadota; Gammaproteobacteria
Description: contains 16S-23S intergenic spacer region
Source: RNAcentral